RNAcentral lists this transfer RNA (77 nucleotides) under SAR116 cluster alpha proteobacterium HIMB100. RNAcentral describes it as "tRNA-Arg". It matches the Rfam family "tRNA". From Rfam's summary of the family: Transfer RNA (tRNA) molecules are approximately 80 nucleotides in length. Their secondary structure includes four short double-helical elements and three loops (D, anti-codon, and T loops). Lineage: Bacteria; Pseudomonadati; Pseudomonadota; Alphaproteobacteria; Puniceispirillales (SeqCode). RNAcentral also lists the same sequence under 3 other names. The record is from RNAcentral.
GCGCUCGUAGCUCAGCUGGAUAGAGCACCAGACUACGAAUCUGGGGGUCAGGGGUUCGAAUCCUCUCGAGCGCGCCA